This 429-nucleotide ribosomal RNA is filed under the name Fusobacteriota bacterium. RNAcentral's name for it is "Fusobacteria bacterium partial 16S ribosomal RNA". It matches the Rfam family "Bacterial small subunit ribosomal RNA", at positions 355 to 776 of the family's 1533-position model. The record is from RNAcentral. Lineage: Bacteria; Fusobacteriati; Fusobacteriota.
UGGGGAAUAUUGCACAAUGGGCGCAAGCCUGAUGCAGCCAUGCCGCGUGUAUGAUGAAGGCCUUCGGGUUGUAAAGUACUUUCAGCGGGGAGGAAGGGAGUAAAGUUAAUACUUUUGCUCAAUGACGUUACCCGCAGAAGAAGCACCGGCUAACUCCGUGCCAGCAGCCGCGGUAAUACGGAGGGUGCAAGCGUUAAUCGGAAUUACUGGGCGUAAAGCGCACGCAGGCGGUUUGUUAAGUCAGAUGUGAAAUCCUCGGGCUCAACCUGGGAACUGCAUCUGAUACUGGCAAGCUUGAGUCUCGUAGAGGGGGGUAGAAUUCCAGGUGUAGCGGUGAAAUGCGUAGAGAUCUGGAGGAAUACCGGUGGCGGAGGCGGCCCCCUGGACUAAGACUGACGCUCAGGUGCGAAAGCGUGGGGAGCAAACAGG